UAUUGCACAAUGGGGGAAACCCUGAUGCAGCGACGCCGCGUGGGCGACGAAGCGCUCCGGCGCGUAAAGCCCUGUCAGCAGGGAAGAAAAAAGACAGUACCUGACCAAGAAGCCCCGGCUAACUACGUGCCAGCAGCCGCGGUAAUACGUAGGGGGCAAGCGUUAUCCGGAUUCACUGGGCGUAAAGGGAGCGCAGGCGGCACGGCAAGUCUGGUGUGAAAGCCUGGGGCCCAACCCCGGGACUGCAUUGGAAACUGCCGGGCUGGAGUGCCGGAGGGGUAAGCGGAAUUCCUGGUGUAGCGGUGAAAUGCGCAGAUAUCAGGAAGAACACCGGUGGCGGAGGCGGCUUACUGGACGGCAACUGACGCUGAGGCUCGAAAGCGUGGGGAGCAAACAGGA
Molecule: ribosomal RNA, 399 nt
Filed under: uncultured bacterium
Lineage: Bacteria
Description: bacterial SSU rRNA
Rfam family: Bacterial small subunit ribosomal RNA
Source: RNAcentral